Long non-coding RNA from Anneissia japonica, 744 nucleotides. RefSeq lists it as uncharacterized. The record is from RefSeq and is a predicted model, not a curated record. NCBI's taxonomy places the organism in Eukaryota, Metazoa, Echinodermata, Crinoidea, Comatulida, Comatulidae. The transcript is spliced from 4 exons.
UUUGAAUUGUUGUACAGAUAAAAAAAAAAACAUUGGCAUCAAGUAAUGUUAAAUACAGAUAUAUUAGUUAUCUAAUGGAAUAAGUGCUAUAGUCUCAUUGCGUUCUUGUAUGCAUUAAAUAAGUUUGCAAUGUUUAUCGAAUAGUUUACUUGCUAAUUCAUAAUCCUUGUGGGAGAAAUACCUUUCUGAUGUCCAUUGUGAAUUUCUAGGUCAUCGAAAAAUAGGUGAUAUACACUAAUAUGUGAUACUGUAUAUUCUGCUAACCUCAGUACUGUAUUAUGAUAAGAUUGCGAUUGAUCAAAUCUUCAUUGAAUUUCAGUUGGAGAGUCAACAUCUUAUGGGUCAGCUUAUCCCACAACAAUUGCAGGAAAACUGAAAAUGAGUAGGUGGAGCUUGUAUUUACUGCGUGUCAUGUGGUUUGCUUGUCAUUUUCAAGUAAGGAGAGUCUAUGCUUUGCAGGUGGAGGAUAAGAAGGAGCUGGAAGCAAGUAGUACGAACAAACAUGAAGAAGACAAUUUUGCAGAUCUUGAUAAUCAAAUAGUGCAACUUUUAAGAGGAUCAUAGAACAAGCAGAGUGUUACAGUGUAGGCCCAGAAACAAGAGAACACAGAUGAUGAGGAGGCAGAGCUUAGUAUUUACUGUGUCAUGUAGUCCGCCGAGAGCCAUCAGACAGUUUCAAAGAUUUUUUAGUAAGGUAUGAUCAACUGUUUGAUUUGUGUUGAUAAGAACUAAUCAAAAGAUUCA